UUGACCUCGGAUCAGGUAGGGAUACCCGCUGAACUUAAGCAUAUCAAUAAGCGGAGGAAAAGAAACCAACCGGGAUUGCCCUAG
This 84-nucleotide ribosomal RNA is filed under the name Penicillium citrinum. RNAcentral describes it as "partial 28S ribosomal RNA". It matches the Rfam family "Eukaryotic large subunit ribosomal RNA", at positions 1 to 83 of the family's 3401-position model. The record is from RNAcentral. Lineage: Eukaryota; Fungi; Ascomycota; Eurotiomycetes; Eurotiales; Aspergillaceae.